UUGUUUUAUAGUUCUAUAUAACGUCGAUCGACUGUUGUCUUCCGCUGCCAACCGGCUUCCUCGCCUCAGAAACCCUAAACCCUACCGCUGCCCAUAAACUUCGGCACCCAGGGUUCUUUACGAGUGAGAUUUCAAAAAUAUUAUUUGUAAGAACAAGAAGCUUUGGUUGGCAACGGCAGAGCUCGUCAGCGGCAUGGACGACUACCGCCUGAAGCCACCGCUAUUUUGGUCGGUGGUGCAUGAUCGCGUUCCCGACAAGAAACCGUCAUCCCCUAGGUUCUUGGAGCCCGCUCGUGCGAACCCAUGGACUCAUCUCCGAGCGCGAGUCGGACACCUUAGAAAGUAAAAUUAUUGAAACUGGGAGGGCCGCCAUCGACGGCUGAGUCGAAGGCAUCGUCUCAUUCGCCUCGAGGGGCGCGUUUCAUUCCUUUCCUUUUAUGCAAGCAGUCUCCUUCUGGUACCCGGAUUAUCAAAGUUGCUUGUUUUGCUUCAUUAGCUGAUCUUCUCACAAGGUUUGUUGACCGUGUUGUGCUCCUCAAUUCUCAUAAUUGAUGCCACUAUUUUUUAAACUGGCAAUUAAACUAGUGAAAUUCUUUUAAAACUUUUGCUUUGUUUAUAAAUUACGAUGGGACCUGUGAAAAAGAGUAGCUUGGGUACAAGCAGUUAUGAAGCCAGAGUUUAAGCAAAGUCUAGUUUCCAGAGUGUUAACUGAAUUUUAAUACGUUUAAGGCAUACAUGCGUUAUGAUUUUAUAAGCAAUUCAAAGGGGAGAACUCAGCCUGAGUAGCUUGUGUUCAGCACAUUGUUCUCUGGAUUGCCGAUAACAAGUUAGAACUUUUCCCAUCUUCUUCGGUUAGCAACUUUAGAGCCCUCGUCAAACCUCUUCUUAUAGUGAGAGUUUUAUACUUUUGUUGAUAGAAUCCACAGGCCAUGUCAAGUUAAUUAUCAUAGAAAUGUGCCCAAUUGAGGUAUUGUUUUAGUAUUAUGCGUCGACCUGUGAUGGUAACGACAUGCAUGAUACCAUUUUUCUAAAAGGUCAAAAUUUAGAGAGAUGCCAAUCAGAUGGGUCAUAUAACUUGAUUUAUCAUGUUAGCAAAACCAUUGGACAAAUGUUAGAAGAUUCAUCUUACACAAACUAGAAUAUAUUUCAUGUAAACUAGAGUAACAUUAGCGGCCUUUUGUUUUCCCAAAUCUGGUUAGAUCGGAAAGUACUUAUAAACUUAUAAGGUUAAAUUGAAUGCACCAGUUGUUUAGCUAACAGGGGAAUAAAAUGUUCUAUUGGAGAAUCUUCUAUUGUAAAAACAAACUGUACCUAGAUUCAACUAUUGUUUUAACUUGAAGCAACUUGCAGCAAUUUAAUGUACCAGUUGUUUAGCUAACGGGGGAAUAAAAUGUUCUAUUGGAGAAUCUUCUAUUGUAAAGACAAACUGUACCUAGAUUCAACUAUUGUCUUAUCUUUCUCCUAUGCUUGUGGUGGCUGGAGGUUUGAACUGCAAGAUGAGUCUUUUCUCUUAUGCAAGAAGGAAGAAGAAAGUUUUAUGAGGUGGUUUUCAAAUUUUGGGUGAUCCAAAGGGCUGUAAUUAUUGUUUCAUUUAUUUAUUGUUUGCUGUUUUUUUUUUCUUCUGUUUUUAUGUCUGUAAUCACUUGUAUUUUUAUUGUUACCAUUUAAUACAAGGAUUAAGACUUUGACUGCCU
Molecule: long non-coding RNA, 1694 nt
Organism: Dendrobium catenatum
Lineage: Eukaryota; Viridiplantae; Streptophyta; Magnoliopsida; Asparagales; Orchidaceae
Exons: 2
Source: RefSeq, a predicted model, not a curated record